CAUAGGUUAAUGAGGCGAACCGGGGGAACUGAAACAUCUAAGUACCCCGAGGAAAAGAAAUCAACCGAGAUUCCCCCAGUAGCGGCGAGCGAACGGGGAGGAGCCCAGAGCCUGAAUCAGUGUGUGUGUUAGUGGAAGCGUCUGGAAAGGCGCGCGAUACAGGGUGACAGCCCCGUACACAAAAAUGCACAUACUGUGAGCUCGAUGAGUAGGGCGGGACACGUGGUAUCCUGUCUGAAUAUGGGGGGACCAUCCUCCAAGGCUAAAUACUCCUGACUGACCGAUAGUGAACCAGUACCGUGAGGGAAAGGCGAAAAGAACCCCGGCGAGGGGAGUGAAAAAGAACCUGAAACCGUGUACGUACAAGCAGUGGGAGCCUCUUAAUGGGGUGACUGCGUACCUUUUGUAUAAUGGGUCAGCGACUUAUAUUCUGUAGCAAGGUUAACCGAAUAGGGGAGCCGAAGGGAAACCGAGUCUUAACUGGGCGUUAAGUUGCAGGGUAUAGACCCGAAACCCGGUGAUCUAGCCAUGGGCAGGUUGAAGGUUGGGUAACACUAACUGGAGGACCGAACCGACUAAUGUUGAAAAAUUAGCGGAUGACUUGUGGCUGGGGGUGAAAGGCCAAUCAAACCGGGAGAUAGCUGGUUCUCCCCGAAAGCUAUUUAGGUAGCGCCUCGUGAAUUCAUCUCCGGGGGUAGAGCACUGUUUCGGCAAGGGGGUCAUCCCGACUUACCAACCCGAUGCAAACUGCGAAUACCGGAGAAUGUUAUCACGGGAGACACACGGCGGGUGCUAACGUCCGUCGUGAAGAGGGAAACAACCCAGACCGCCAGCUAAGGUCCCAAAGUCAUGGUUAAGUGGGAAACGAUGUGGGAAGGCCCAGACAGCCAGGAUGUUGGCUUAGAAGCAGCCAUCAUUUAAAGAAAGCGUAAUAGCUCACUGGUCGAGUCGGCCUGCGCGGAAGAUGUAACGGGGCUAAACCAUGCACCGAAGCUGCGGCAGCGACACUAUGUGUUGUUGGGUAGGGGAGCGUUCUGUAAGCCUGUGAAGGUGUACUGUGAGGUAUGCUGGAGGUAUCAGAAGUGCGAAUGCUGACAUAAGUAACGAUAAAGCGGGUGAAAAGCCCGCUCGCCGGAAGACCAAGGGUUCCUGUCCAACGUUAAUCGGGGCAGGGUGAGUCGACCCCUAAGGCGAGGCCGAAAGGCGUAGUCGAUGGGAAACAGGUUAAUAUUCCUGUACUUGGUGUUACUGCGAAGGGGGGACGGAGAAGGCUAUGUUGGCCGGGCGACGGUUGUCCCGGUUUAAGCGUGUAGGCUGGUUUUCCAGGCAAAUCCGGAAAAUCAAGGCUGAGGCGUGAUGACGAGGCACUACGGUGCUGAAGCGACAAAUGCCCUGCUUCCAGGAAAAGCCUCUAAGCAUCAGGUAACAUCAAAUCGUACCCCAAACCGACACAGGUGGUCAGGUAGAGAAUACCAAGGCGCUUGAGAGAACUCGGGUGAAGGAACUAGGCAAAAUGGUGCCGUAACUUCGGGAGAAGGCACGCUGAUAUGUAGGUGAAGCGACUUGCUCGUGGAGCUGAAAUCAGUCGAAGAUACCAGCUGGCUGCAACUGUUUAUUAAAAACACAGCACUGUGCAAACACGAAAGUGGACGUAUACGGUGUGACGCCUGCCCGGUGCCGGAAGGUUAAUUGAUGGGGUUAGCGGUAACGCGAAGCUCUUGAUCGAAGCCCCGGUAAACGGCGGCCGUAACUAUAACGGUCCUAAGGUAGCGAAAUUCCUUGUCGGGUAAGUUCCGACCUGCACGAAUGGCGUAAUGAUGGCCAGGCUGUCUCCACCCGAGACUCAGUGAAAUUGAACUCGCUGUGAAGAUGCAGUGUACCCGCGGCAAGACGGAAAGACCCCGUGAACCUUUACUAUAGCUUGACACUGAACAUUGAGCCUUGAUGUGUAGGAUAGGUGGGAGGCUUUGAAGUGUGGACGCCAGUCUGCAUGGAGCCGACCUUGAAAUACCACCCUUUAAUGUUUGAUGUUCUAACGUGGGCCCCUUACCGGGGUUGCGGACAGUGUCUGGUGGGUAGUUUGACUGGGGCGGUCUCCUCCUAAAGAGUAACGGAGGAGCACGAAGGUUGGCUAAUCCUGGUCGGACAUCAGGAGGUUAGUGCAAUGGCAUAAGCCAGCUUGACUGCGAGCGUGACGGCGCGAGCAGGUGCGAAAGCAGGUCAUAGUGAUCCGGUGGUUCUGAAUGGAAGGGCCAUCGCUCAACGGAUAAAAGGUACUCCGGGGAUAACAGGCUGAUACCGCCCAAGAGUUCAUAUCGACGGCGGUGUUUGGCACCUCGAUGUCGGCUCAUCACAUCCUGGGGCUGAAGUAGGUCCCAAGGGUAUGGCUGUUCGCCAUUUAAAGUGGUACGCGAGCUGGGUUUAGAACGUCGUGAGACAGUUCGGUCCCUAUCUGCCGUGGGCGCUGGAGAACUGAGGGGGGCUGCUCCUAGUACGAGAGGACCGGAGUGGACGCAUCACUGGUGUUCGGGUUGUCAUGCCAAUGGCACUGCCCGGUAGCUAAAUGCGGAAGAGAUAAGUGCUGAAAGCAUCUAAGCACGAAACUUGCCCCGAGAUGAGUUCUCCCUGACUCCUUGAGAGUCCUGAAGGAACGUUGAAGACGACGACGUUGAUAGGCCGGGUGUGUAAGCGCAGCGAUGCGUUGAGCUAACCGGUACUAAUGAACCGUGAGGCUUAACCUU
RNAcentral lists this ribosomal RNA (2741 nucleotides) under Escherichia coli. RNAcentral describes it as "partial 23S ribosomal RNA". It matches the Rfam family "Bacterial large subunit ribosomal RNA". RNAcentral also lists the same sequence under 2 other names. The record is from RNAcentral. Lineage: Bacteria; Pseudomonadati; Pseudomonadota; Gammaproteobacteria; Enterobacterales; Enterobacteriaceae.